Molecule: ribosomal RNA, 751 nt
Filed under: Phrynosoma cornutum
Lineage: Eukaryota; Metazoa; Chordata; Lepidosauria; Squamata; Phrynosomatidae
Description: partial 12S ribosomal RNA
Rfam family: Bacterial small subunit ribosomal RNA
Source: RNAcentral
ACCCCAGUGAAAUAUGCCCUAACAAAAGUAAACGGAGCAGGUAUCAGGCACGACACUCAGCCCAAAACACCAGGCCAUGCCACACCCACACGGGCCCUCAGCAGUGAUAAACAUUAAGCAAUAAGCAAACUCCACAAGCUUGACUUAGUUAUGAUUAAUUAGGGCCGGUAAACCUCGUGCCAGCCACCGCGGUUACACGAAGGGCCCAAAACAGCAGACCACGGCGUAAAUCGUGAUUAGAAUAUACCCCACCUUAAAAACUGAACAAUAUCCUAACUGUAAAACACAGGAUAAAUGAAACCAUUAAACUUUUAACAACAAGGUUUUUUGACUCACGAAAACUAAGAAACAAACUAGGAUUAGAUACCCUACUAUGCUUAGUCGUUAAUAUGGUAUUUAAACACAUAAAAUACCCGCCAGAAGACUACGAGCGAAAAGCUUAAAACUCAAAGGACUUGGCGGUGCUCCACACCCGACUUAGAGGAGCCUGUCCUAUAAUCGAUACUCCACGUUAGACCUUUCCACUCAUUGCCCAAAAUCAGCCUAUAUACCGCCGUCGCCAACCUACCCCAUGAGGGUUCAAUAGUAGGUUCAAUAGUUAUAAACUAAAACGUCAGGUCAAGGUGUAGCUAAUAGAGUGGUAGAGAUGGGCUACAUUUUUUAAAAUAAAAAAUACGGCACGAAACCAUGAAACAGGUUUCCAAAGGAGGAUUUAAUAGUAAAAUUAUAAAGAAAACUAAUUUUAAACACG